GACAGCUGAUGUCAGACCUGCACCUUCCUUGAACAUGUUGGUAACUUACUCUGUAUUUGUUCACGGUGGUCACCCCAGGGUCUCAGGACUCAAAACGAGUGCUCUAUGGAUUGAACAUAAAAUGUAGUAUAAACAAGUGUUAUGUUUUUAAAUGCCACUAAUAAUGUGUUUCUGUUUUCUUUCUCAUUAUGCUAACAAACACUCUUUUACCCCUCAUGUUAGGUGGAUCAACACUCCAACCAUCUGCAUUAGGGACUGAAUAAAGGAUGCCCUCUGUAGCUGGGAAUGUUAGAUCAGGCGGAUCAACAUUCCAUCCAUCUGCAUUAGGAUCUACCUUAGAGACACUCACUGGAGCUGUAAAUGGGAAGCAGGUCACUUACUUUGCAUUCGUCCUUGGUGGUCACCCAAGGGUCUCUAGAGUGAAAAUUACUCAAUCUAUGGAUUAAACAGAAAAUUUAGUUGUAUGAAGUGGUAUGUUGUCUUUAAAUGCCAUUAAAAAUGUGUUUCUGUUUUCUGUCUCAUAUUAAGAAAUACUCUUUAACCUGCCCACUGGAGCUGGGAAUGCAAUUUGGGACAUUCUUCCAGUUGUCGGCAACUUUGUGAAAAAGGCUGGAAACUUAAAUGCAGUUUAACUGAUUCUGCUUACCUGACUCAUGCAGAAUUCUGGCCUGGUGUUUGGUCUGUGCUGUCUUUGGCUCUUGCAUCUCCAUCAUCCUGACCCUCUUUAGCAGCCUGUCCAUGUAUUUAUUUGGAGGCCACCAUGAGCACCCAUCUGCAUAAUAUGACUUUGUUACUCAGAUGUCCAUGCGCUCCUACAAAUUCUACAUUUUUUGUAAAGCUGCAACAAGUUGAAACCCUAUAAUUAUUAACGUUUGAUUUUGAACUAUGUAAAUCAAAUACAUGAAUAAGUAACAAAAGCAGAAAUUUAUUAAGAUAUUACCUUUUUGUUGCUUGUUUACUGAUCUAUCAAUCCUUUUGCAUUUUCAUAAUUGUUCAUCAUAACUUGGUAUACAGUGGAUGUGUGGCUGCAGAUAACUUUCUGAAGUCAAUUUAAAAAGACAAAAGUUAAUAAAUGCUGAAUUGGUCAAAUAUACAUUGUUGUAUUUUCACCAUUUUGAUGUUUAGGCAUUUCAUAACUUGAGGGUUAAUUCACGUAUAGUGAUGUUUCAAAUCAAAGAUUAAUUUAUUAAUGACAGCUAAUCAUUUUAUAAAGAUUUUUAUUACAAUAUUUAUUUAUAUAAUAUCAAUUUAAUACAUUUAAUUCGUUACACCUACAUUACUGAGCGCAAGGGAGUGCAGCCAACAAAUACAUUCAGGUGUGUUCGACUUAACACCGAGAUGCGCAGACAGCACGUGGUAUGACAUCAAAGUACCGCGAGAGUUUGGGAAAGCCCCGGAAAAGGUUUGAUCUCGCGGUACUUGAUGUCACGAUCGGUUUGCGUGUAGAUCAGCAUGAAGUAGAACACAUCUGAAAGAUGUGUGGGCUGCCUGCACUCAACGUUGCGAUAAUUCAGUAGAGUGUAACCUCAAUCGGUUUUUGCAGCUUCUGGGUGUCGUGUCGAACGAUCGCAGAACGAUUUUUUGUUCUUUUCCAACUCGAUUUUUAACUCCCUAGACUAGUAGGAUGUUCCAACGGGUGAAGCAACAGUGCUGACGGCAGAGUUUCAGUGUCAAUUUUUCAUGCCAUGAUCACUGGGGCGGAAACCAUUAUGACGUUGCCUUGGACAUCAAACUAAACCAUCUCAUUCUUGCUUUUUUCUAACAUCGAAAUCUCAGAAGGCCAGGACUAAGAUGGACGCAGCCUCCACAUGCAACCUUGCAUUUGAGGAACACCCAUAGAACGGUCAACUUACCCCAUACUCUAACCUGAAUGCAGUGAUCAUAAAACUUUAUCUUUUACCUUAAUUGUUAGAUGGGUGUUGAUACCAAACUAUUUUUUCUCGUCUACCCAGGAGAAAGUCAUGGGUUCUGCUGCUGAGGUUGUCAUAAAGCAUGCUUUUUCCAUUUGUUGCAUUGGGCAAUAUUAUCAAAAGAUUCUGAAAGAAAUAAGAUAAUUUUCAAAGCACUAACAUGAAUAUGAAAGCAUUAAGUCAUUAAUGACCAUCUUUUAUUAUUGUUUAUUUAUAGUGUCUUUUAUUCUGCUUACCUGACUCAUGCAGAAUUCUGGCUUGAUGUUUGGUCCACCUGUUAGCUGGCUCUGGUGCUUGGUAGUCUUCUCAAACCUCUGAAUCAAGGCCACCAUGAGAGGCCUUCUGAAGACCAUCAUUACGCUUCAGAUCCAGUUGUCUUAACUAUGAGAUAGAACUGAACUGGAGUCUGUGAACUAAUGCUGUGUUCGAGACAACUGGAACAGCAAACAAAGUUGAGUAUCCGACCUCUCAACUUGUGACUGAUCGAUCAGCACCAACCUCAACGAGAUGCAUCAUUUGACAUUGCAGACAAGAUCCUUUCUCUUUUUAAUGCAGCACUUAAGGAUGAACCACCCUGAUCUACUAAGAUGCACAGAUUCAACUCUGGCCCAGCAUCAUCCCCACACCUCAUCUGCCAUCAGUUUAAUUUAAUGUCUGUCAAUUGCAAAUGCUAUUUAUUUCAGUUAUAUUACAACUUAAUGUUAACUUUAAUUGAGACUAGUAUUGUGUAAAGCUGGGGUUUCCAAACUUUUCAUUUCAAAACCUAUUAGACAAGUGUAAUCUAUUCUAGACCCACUAAAAUAUUUUUACAUAUACAUUUUUUUAAUGGGGUAAAACACAUUUGUUCUCUUUCAGUGGAGUCAUUUUAUUUUUAUAAUAUUUCAUAAUGUAAAGCAGUGGUUCUAAACGUUAUUCCUCGAGGCCCAUUGCUCUGCACAUUUUGUAUGUCUCUUUUAUCUGACAGACUCAGUUCAGUUCAUUGAGAUCUCUUCUAAUGAGCUGAUGAUUUGAAUCAGGUGUGUUAAAUAAGGGAGACAUACAAAAUGUGCAGGGCAGUGGGCCUCCAGGAAUAACAUUAAGAACCACUGAUGUAAAGUAAAUACAAGUUUAUUUGCAAUACCAAAUAUUUUAUGGUAUAUUCUUUCAAAACCAUUGUCAUUGUUAAUUAUUAAUUUGGCCAAACUGUUGUUGCAUCAUUAAGGUGUGCAACACACCUUAACCUACUGUGUGACCGACAAGUGGGUCCUCCUGACCCACAGUUUAAAAUCCCCUGGUGUACUGAAUGUAUUGUAAUUAAAGUCGCAUCUAAGUCUUG
Molecule: non-coding RNA, 3225 nt
Organism: Paramisgurnus dabryanus
Lineage: Eukaryota; Metazoa; Chordata; Actinopteri; Cypriniformes; Cobitidae
Source: RefSeq, a predicted model, not a curated record